This 497-nucleotide ribosomal RNA is filed under the name uncultured bacterium. Its description in RNAcentral is "partial 16S ribosomal RNA". It matches the Rfam family "Bacterial small subunit ribosomal RNA", at positions 28 to 507 of the family's 1533-position model. The record is from RNAcentral.
GAUGAACGCUGGCGGCGUGCCUAAUACAUGCAAGUCGAGCGAACAGACGAGGAGCUUGCUCCUCUGACGUUAGCGGCGGACGGGUGAGUAACACGUGGAUAACCUACCUAUAAGACUGGGAUAACUUCGGGAAACCGGCGCUAAUCCCGGAUAAUAUAUUGAACCGCAUGGUUCAAUAGUGAAUGACGGUUUUGCUGUCACUUAUAGAUGGAUCCGCGCCGCAUUAGCUAGUUGGUAAGGUAAAGGCUUACCACGGCAACGAUGCGUAGCCGACCGGAGAGGGUGAUCGGCCACACGGGAGCUGGGACACGGUCCAGGGGCCUGCGGGAGGCAGCAGUAGGGAAUCUGCCGCAGUGGGCGAAAGCCUGACGGAGCGACGCCGCGUGAGAGAUAGAGGUCUUCGGAGCGUAAAACUCGGUUAUUAGUGAAAAACAAAUGUGGAAGUAAAUAUGCACGUCUUGACGGUACCUAAUCAGAAAGCCACGGCUAACUACGUG